This 423-nucleotide ribosomal RNA is filed under the name uncultured Prevotellaceae bacterium. Its description in RNAcentral is "bacterial SSU rRNA". It matches the Rfam family "Bacterial small subunit ribosomal RNA", at positions 43 to 456 of the family's 1533-position model. The record is from RNAcentral. Lineage: Bacteria; Pseudomonadati; Bacteroidota; Bacteroidia; Bacteroidales; Prevotellaceae.
UUUGCUUCCCCCCUGCAAGUCGCGGGGCAGCAUGGGAGAUGCUUGCAUUUCCUGAUGGCGACCGGCGCACGGGUGAGUAACGCGUAUCCAACCUGCCUGUUACCACGGCACAGCCCGUCGAAAGGCGGAUUAAUGCCGUAUGUGGUCCUAAGCGGGCAUCUAAUUAGGACUAAAGGAUUGGCGGUAACGGAUGGGGAUGCGUCCGAUUAGCUUGACGGCGGGGUAACGGCCCACCGUGGCGACGAUCGGUAGGGGUUCUGAGAGGAAGGUCCCCCACAUUGGAACUGAGACACGGUCCAAACUCCUACGGGAGGCAGCAGUGAGGAAUAUUGGUCAAUGGGCGAGAGCCUGAACCAGCCAAGUAGCGUGAGGGAAGACUGCCCUAUGGGUUGUAAACCUCUUUUGUGUGGGGAUAAAGUGAGG